UACGUAGGGUGCAAGCGUUAAUCGGAAUUAUUGGGCGUAAAGCGCGCGCAGGCGGUCCCUUAAGUCUGAUGUGAAAGCCCACGGCUCAACCGUGGAGGGUCAUUGGAAACUGGGGGACUUGAGUACAGAAGAGGAAAGCGGAAUUCCACGUGUAGCGGUGAAAUGCGUAGAGAUGUGGAGGAACACCAGUGGCGAAGGCGGCUUUCUGGUCUGUAACUGACGCUGAGGCGCGAAAGCGUGGGGAGCAAACAGG
RNAcentral lists this ribosomal RNA (253 nucleotides) under uncultured bacterium. Its description in RNAcentral is "partial 16S ribosomal RNA". It matches the Rfam family "Bacterial small subunit ribosomal RNA", at positions 524 to 776 of the family's 1533-position model. The record is from RNAcentral.